UGGGGAAUAUUGCACAAUGGGGGAAACCCUGAUGCAGCGACGCCGCGUGAGCGAUGAAGGCUUUCGAGUCGUAAAGCUCUGUCCUAUGGGAAGAUAAUGACGGUACCAUAGAAGAAAGCCCCGGCUAAUUACGUGCCAGCAGCCGCGGUAAUACGUAAGGGGCGAGCGUUGUCCGGAAUUAUUGGGCGUAAAGCGCGCGUAGGCGGUCUGUUAGGUCAGGAGUCAAAUCUGGGGGCGCAACCCCUAUCCGCUCCUGAUACCGGCAGGCUUGAGUCUGGUAUGGGAAGGUGGAAUUCCAAGUGUAGCGGUGAAAUGCGCAGAUAUUUGGAAGAACACCAGUGGCGAAGGCGGCCUUCUGGGCCAUGACUGACGCUGAGGCGCGAAAGCUAGGGGAGCGAACAGG
Molecule: ribosomal RNA, 403 nt
Filed under: Verrucomicrobiota bacterium
Lineage: Bacteria; Pseudomonadati; Verrucomicrobiota
Description: Verrucomicrobia bacterium partial 16S ribosomal RNA
Rfam family: Bacterial small subunit ribosomal RNA
Source: RNAcentral